This 450-nucleotide ribosomal RNA is filed under the name uncultured bacterium. Its description in RNAcentral is "bacterial SSU rRNA". It matches the Rfam family "Bacterial small subunit ribosomal RNA", at positions 29 to 523 of the family's 1533-position model. The record is from RNAcentral.
AGCGAACGCUGGCGGCAGGCUUAGCACAUGCAAGUCGAGCGGGCGUAGCAAUACGUCAGCGGCAGACGGGUGAGUAACGCGUGGGAACAUACCUCUUGGUUCGGAACAACACAGGGAAACUUGUGCUAAUACCGGAUAAGCCCUUACGGGGAAAGAUUUAUCGCCGAGAGAUUGGCCCGCGUCUGAUUAGCUAGUUGGUGAGGUAACGGCUCACCAAGGCGACGANCAGUAGCUGGUCUGAGAGGAUGAUCAGCCACAUUGGGACUGAGACACGGCCCAAACUCCUACGGGAGGCAGCAGUGGGGAAUAUUGGACAAUGGGCGCAAGCCUGAUCCAGCCAUGCCGCGUGUGUGAUGAAGGCCUUAGGGUUGUAAAGCACUUUCGUCCGGGACGAUAAUGACGGUACCGGAAGAAGAGCCCCGGCUAACUUCGUGCCAGCAGCCGCAGUAA